CCAGACUCCUACGGGAGGCAGCAGUGGGGAAUAUUGCACAAUGGGCGAAAGCCUGAUGCAGCAACGCCGCGUGAAGGAAGACGGUUUUCGGAUUGUAAACUUCUGUUCUUAGUGAAGAAUAAUGACGGUAACUAAGGAGCAAGCCACGGCUAACUACGUGCCAGCAGCCGCGGUAAUACGUAGGUGGCAAGCGUUGUCCGGAAUUACUGGGUGUAAAGGGAGCGUAGGCGGGAAGCCAAGUCAGCUGUGAAAACUACGGGCUUAACCUGUAGACUGCAGUUGAAACUGGCUUUCUUGAGUGAAGUAGAGGUUGGCGGAAUUCCGAGUGUAGCGGUGAAAUGCGUAGAUAUUAGGAGGAACACCAGUGGCGAAGGCGGCUUACUGGACUGUAACUGACGUUGAGGCUCGAAAGCGUGGGGAGCAAACAGGAUUAGAUACCCGAGUA
This 445-nucleotide ribosomal RNA is filed under the name uncultured bacterium. RNAcentral's name for it is "bacterial SSU rRNA". It matches the Rfam family "Bacterial small subunit ribosomal RNA", at positions 331 to 792 of the family's 1533-position model. The record is from RNAcentral.